GAAACGGCUCGAAACCGUGUCAGAACCUUUAAAAAAAACCUAUUACAUAACUUCCUCUUUAUCUCCCGUCGCACCAACGCAACCCCAUUCUCGAUCUCUCCCUCUCUCUCCCGCUCCCUCACUCCCUCAAUCCCUUGUUCUCGAUCUCUCUAGCUCCCGCUUCCUCACUCCCUCUAUCAUUACCUCUCGAUCUCUCUCCCGCUCCCUCCCUCUUUAUCUCCCUCCCUCUGUCUCUCUAUCUCUCUCGCUCCCUCCCGAUCUCUCUCCCUAUCGUUACAAGAAAAACAGAGCCCUAAUUACCUGUUCUCUUUCUCUCUCUCCAACCAGCCUCACUUUACAUUUUUGCUCGGUAGGUAUACAGUAUUUGCAGAGCAGAGCUUCUCGGAAGCGAAAAAGGUUAUUUGAAGGGUUAGGGUUUUGAUCCAUUCUCUUUCAGAGCAACUCCAAUUUUAAGUUUUCGAUCUCUGCAACACUCUCCUCAUCUCUCUCUCUCUCUCUCUCUCUCUCUCUCUUCGGAGUCGGAUUCUAGAACUCUCAGCAGCGAGAAUGGGGUUCCAGAUGCAGCGGUACGGAGUACAAGCGAUGCUGAAAGAAGGCUACAAGCAUCCCUCUGGCAUCGACGAAGCGGUCCUCAAGAACAUUGAUGCUUGCAAGCAGCUCUCCACCAUCACCCGAACUUCGCUCAGAUCGAACGGUAUGAAUAAAAUGGUCAUUAAUCAUUUGGACAAACUCUUUGAUACAAAUGAUGCUGCAACUAUUGUGAAUGAACUUGAGGUACAGCAUCCUGCUGCCAAGAUUCUCGUGUAAGCAGGCAAAGCUCAACAGGAAGAAAUUGUUGAUGGAGCUAAUCUGACAAUAUCUUUUGCUGGGGAGCUUCUCCAAAAUGCAGAGGAGCUUAUUAGGAUAGGAUUGCAUCCAAGUGAACUCAUUAGUGGCUACCCAAAAGCGAUCAAUAAGAUGGUCGAUAUUUUAGAUGAGUUGGUUGAAAAGGGCUCGGAAACAAUGGAUGUGCGGAACAAGGAUGAAGUUGUUUCCUGAAUGAAAGCUAUUGUGGCCAGUAAGCAGUUCGUACAAGAAGACAUUUUGUGCCCUCUUAUUGCGGAUGCAUGCAUCCAGGUCUGCCUCAAGAACCCAGUGAACUUUAAUGUAGAUAAUGUUCGUGUCGUAAAGCUUCUUGGAGGAGGUCUGCAUAACUGUUCAAUUGUUCGUGGCAUGGUCCUGAAAACUGAUGCUGCUGGAAGUAUAAAACAAAUGGAAAAUGCAAAGGUGUGCCUUUGGAAAACUAACUAUUGGUUCUUAUACCAAUACAAUAUUCUUAUACUAUAUUUGCUUCCUCACAUAUUUUCUGGUUGUAAAUAUCAUAGAGUAGAAAUACAUUCCACCCAGUGCUUUGUAUUUUUUCUGUCAAGGAUCUUUUGUGUUCUUAAAUCUCUCUCUCUCUCUCUCUCUCUCUCUCUCUCUCUCUCUCUCUCUCUGUGUGUGUGUGUGUGUGUGUGGUUUUUUUGGUGAUGCUUUGUAUUGGAUGCCUUUGUCUGAUUUGGAUUUGGAUGUUUGAUGGAGCACAUUUACUUGCCAUGUAGUAUUGAGUGGUUUUUUGGAAGGCUUAAUGUUGCUGAAAAUGAAAAAAAUAAUAAUAUUUUUCUACUCUCUAGGAGUAUUUUCAUGCCAUUUGGCAUUGGGUAAUUUUGUGCAUUGGAAGGCUUACUGUUGUUUCCUUCUCAGCCAAUUUGGUUGAAUUGAUUUAUGUGAGCUUACUAUUGAUC
Magnolia sinica is the source of this 1763-nucleotide long non-coding RNA. RefSeq lists it as uncharacterized. The transcript is spliced from 4 exons. The record is from RefSeq and is a predicted model, not a curated record. NCBI's taxonomy places the organism in Eukaryota, Viridiplantae, Streptophyta, Magnoliopsida, Magnoliales, Magnoliaceae.